RNAcentral lists this ribosomal RNA (798 nucleotides) under Triticum aestivum (bread wheat). RNAcentral's name for it is "partial small subunit ribosomal RNA". Lineage: Eukaryota; Viridiplantae; Streptophyta; Magnoliopsida; Poales; Poaceae. The record is from RNAcentral.
AUGGUGUUCGUCGUCGGCUGGCGCUCAAAUGCUGUUCAGUCCGAUGCCAUAAUUCCGAGCCGUGGUUUGAUUCGGACAAGGUCUCGGUUGGCUGGUUCACCCUGCACAAUAAUCCUUGCUGGGAACCCUGCAGGUGAGCCGACAAUAGUUGGCCAAUGUGUUGGCUUCAGCUCGUGUUCGCCAAUGUUUCGAUUUAAGCACCUGGUACCUGAUUGGGUCCUCGCACGACUGGCUGGUCACUGCCGACGACAGGUCCGAUCGCCCCCCCGGCAUACAUAUUCCCCGAUCCGUCCACGGGGAGCCACGUCGGGGUUCUCGUCCACGGCCCGUCACUCGAGUUUUCGUUUGCGAGGGCAGGGGACUGCAAGUGGACCUCGCUGCCGUAGGGCUGGGUGGGACUACCGGGACUGCAUCAACGUCGACGGUCUGCUGUAUGGAUUCACAAGCUUUGCGCAGGUCCGCACGUUCGAUCUCACCGGUCCUACCGUCACGAGGAACAGAAUUAUAGACGGCAUGUUGGAGAAUUAUCUCCGUGCGCGGCUCUACCUCGUCCAGACCCCGUCCGACAGCGGAUCCGAGUCCUUCACCUCCAGAUCCGUCGACCCCAAACUCAUCCCAUGCGGCCCCGAGGAGGAGGUGGUCAUCCGGCUUGCGCUCUGCCGCGCCCGGGAGGAGGCCCAUGGACGGUUGCGCUCGGACUCCAUCCGUUGGGAAUCCAUUGCGUCCGCCCAAAUGGGGCAUGGAUCCGGCGCUAGGCCGGCCAUAGCUGCCUCGUCGGAGGCCGUGCGGUCCGUCUAG